AAAAAAGGUAAGCUACUAAGAGCGAAUGGUGGAUGCCUUGACUGGUAAAGGCGAUGAAGGACGUACUAGACUGCGAUAAGCUACGGGGAGCUGUCAAGAAGCUUUGAUCCGUAGAUUUCCGAAUGGGGCAACCCAAUGUAUAGAGAUAUACAUUACCUAUAUAGGAGCGAACGAGGGGAAUUGAAACAUCUUAGUACCCUCAGGAAAAGAAAUCAAUAGAGAUUGCGUCAGUAGCGGCGAGCGAAAGCGCAAGAGGGCAAACCCAGUGCUUGCACUGGGGGUUGUAGGACUGCAAUGUGCAAGAGGUGAGUUUAGCAGAACAUUCUGGAAAGUAUAGCCAUAGAGGGUGAUAGUCCCGUAUGCGAAAAACAAACCUUAGCUAGCAGUAUCCUGAGUAGGGCGGGACACGAGGAAUCCUGUCUGAAUCUGGGUCGACCACGAUCCAACCCUAAAUACUAAUACCAGAUCGAUAGUGCACAAGUACCGUGAGGGAAAGGUGAAAAGAACUGAGGUGAUCAGAGUGAAAUAGAACCUGAAACCAUUUGCUUACAAUCAUUCAGAGCCCUAUGUAGCAAUACAGGGUGAUGGACUGCCUUUUGCAUAAUGAGCCUGCGAGUUGUGGUGUCUGGCAAGGUUAAGCAAACGCGAAGCCGUAGCGAAAGCGAGUCUGAAUAGGGCGCUUAGUCAGAUGCUGCAGACCCGAAACGAAGUGAUCUAUCCAUGAGCAAGUUGAAGCUAGUGUAAGAACUAGUGGAGGACUGAACCCAUAGGCGUUGAAAAGCCCCGGGAUGACUUGUGGAUAGGGGUGAAAGGCCAAUCAAACUUCGUGAUAGCUGGUUCUCUCCGAAAUAUAUUUAGGUAUAGCGUUGUGUCGUAAUAUAAGGGGGUAGAGCACUGAAUGGGCUAGGGCAUACACCAAUGUACCAAACCCUAUCAAACUCCGAAUACCUUAUAUGUAAUCACAGCAGUCAGGCGGCGAGUGAUAAAAUCCGUCGUCAAGAGGGAAACAACCCAGACUACCAGCUAAGGUCCCUAAAUCUUACUUAAGUGGAAAACGAUGUGAAGUUACUUAAACAACCAGGAGGUUGGCUUAGAAGCAGCCAUCCUUUAAAGAAAGCGUAAUAGCUCACUGGUCUAGUGAUUUUGCGCGGAAAAUAUAACGGGGCUAAAGUAAGUACCGAAGCUGUAGACUUGCGCACAACUUAGAUUAUUUAAGUUUAGAAUAUGAGAAACUAAGUUAUAUGUUUAGUUAUAUUUUUACUGAUUUUUAUAGAGUAAAGAUAGAAAUAAAACUUAGUAAAAUCAGUAAAAAUAUUCUUAGACUAAAGUUAAGUAGUUUAAGUUGUGUGCAAGUGGUAGGAGAGCGUUCUAUUUGCGUCGAAGGUAUACCGGUAAGGAGUGCUGGAGCGAAUAGAAGUGAGCAUGCAGGCAUGAGUAGCGAUAAUUAAUGUGAGAAUCAUUAACGCCGUAAACCCAAGGUUUCCUACGCGAUGCUCGUCAUCGUAGGGUUAGUCGGGUCCUAAGUCGAGUCCGAAAGGGGUAGACGAUGGCAAAUUGGUUAAUAUUCCAAUACCAACAUUAGUGUGCGAUGGAAGGACGCUUAGGGCUAAGGGGGCUAGCGGAUGGAAGUGCUAGUCUAAGGUCGUAGGAGGUUAUACAGGCAAAUCCGUAUAACAAUACUCCGAGAACUGAAAGGCUUUUUGAAGUCUUCGGAUG
Molecule: ribosomal RNA, 1716 nt
Filed under: Campylobacter coli
Lineage: Bacteria; Pseudomonadati; Campylobacterota; Epsilonproteobacteria; Campylobacterales; Campylobacteraceae
Description: partial 23S ribosomal RNA
Rfam family: Bacterial large subunit ribosomal RNA
Source: RNAcentral